CACGUAGGGGGCGAGCGUUGUCCGGAUUUAUUGGGCGUAAAGAGCUCGUAGGCGGCUUAGUAAGUCGGGUGUGAAAACUCCAGGCUCAACCUGGAGACACCACCCGAUACUGCUGUGGCUAGAGUCCGGUAGGGGAGCGUGGAAUUCCUGGUGUAGCGGUGAAAUGCGCAGAUAUCAGGAGGAACACCAGCGGCGAAGGCGGCGCUCUGGGCCGGAACUGACGCUGAGGAGCGAAAGCGUGGGUAGCAAACAGG
This 254-nucleotide ribosomal RNA is filed under the name uncultured bacterium. Its description in RNAcentral is "partial 16S ribosomal RNA". It matches the Rfam family "Bacterial small subunit ribosomal RNA", at positions 524 to 776 of the family's 1533-position model. The record is from RNAcentral.